GUCUACGGUCAUAUCACACUAAACAUACCCAAUCUCAUCUGAUCUCAGAAGCUAAGCAGGGUCUGGCCUGGUUAAUACUUCGAUGGCCAGAUU
This 93-nucleotide ribosomal RNA is filed under the name Microcebus murinus (gray mouse lemur). The record is from RNAcentral. Lineage: Eukaryota; Metazoa; Chordata; Mammalia; Primates; Cheirogaleidae.